This 327-nucleotide unclassified non-coding RNA is filed under the name fungal sp. RNAcentral describes it as "partial internal transcribed spacer region". The stretch from base 1 to 46 matches the Rfam family "Eukaryotic small subunit ribosomal RNA", at positions 1786 to 1831 of the family's 1831-position model. The record is from RNAcentral. Lineage: Eukaryota; Fungi.
AAGUCGUAACAAGGUUUCCGUAGGUGAACCUGCGGAAGGAUCAUUUCCAAUACCCUUCUAGGCUAACUGUGUUGGAGGUUGAGGUGAGUGGAUGGCCUGUAAGGGCUGCUGGCUUGCCUUGUCUCUGACAUGGUUUGACUAACACAUUGUGAACUAGUUACUGCUUUGUGCGCCUUGUGCGUAUGAAGGAGCCCUUGGCGGGAUGAACAGGUUUUGUUCGCGAAGUCUUGCCGAGGGACCACUUAACUAUAACCUUUUGUAACCUUUGUCUUAAAACGUAUGAACUACAACUUUAUACAACCUUUAACAAUGGAUCUCUUGGUUCCU